ACCCGCACAAGCAGCGGAGCAUGUGGUUUAAUUCGAAGCAACGCGAAGAACCUUACCAGAUCUUGACAUCCAAUUGACCAUCUUUUAAUCGAGAUUUUGCCUUCGGGUACAAUUGAGACAGGUGGUGCAUGGUUGUCGUCAGCUCGUGUCGUGAGAUGUUGGGUUAAGUCCCAUAACGAGCGCAACCCCUAUCAUUAGUUGCCAUCAGGUCAAGCUGGGGACUCUAAUGAAACUGCCUACGCAAGUAGUGAGGAAGGUGGGGAUGACGUCAAAUCAGCACGGCCCUUACGUCCAGGGCUACACACGUGCUACAAUGGCCGGUACAAAGGGCAGCUACCUGGUGACAGGAUGCUAAUCUCAAAAGCCGGUCUCAGUUCGGAUCGGAGUCUGCAACCCGACUCCGUGAAGUUGGAUUCGCUAGUAAUCGCGCAUCAGCCAUGGCGCGGUGAAUACGUUCCCGGGCCUU
RNAcentral lists this ribosomal RNA (466 nucleotides) under uncultured Anaerolineaceae bacterium. RNAcentral's name for it is "bacterial SSU rRNA". It matches the Rfam family "Bacterial small subunit ribosomal RNA", at positions 919 to 1382 of the family's 1533-position model. The record is from RNAcentral. Lineage: Bacteria; Bacillati; Chloroflexota; Anaerolineae; Anaerolineales; Anaerolineaceae.